CACAUACCGCCAUGUUAAAAUGUCAGUGU
Molecule: non-coding RNA, 29 nt
Filed under: Mus musculus (house mouse)
Lineage: Eukaryota; Metazoa; Chordata; Mammalia; Rodentia; Muridae
Source: RNAcentral